This 496-nucleotide ribosomal RNA is filed under the name uncultured bacterium. RNAcentral describes it as "partial 16S ribosomal RNA". It matches the Rfam family "Bacterial small subunit ribosomal RNA", at positions 29 to 507 of the family's 1533-position model. The record is from RNAcentral.
AUGAACGCUGGCGGCGUGCCUAAUACAUGCAAGUCGAGCGAACGGACGAGAAGCUUGCUUCUCUGAUGUUAGCGGCGGACGGGUGAGUAACACGUGGAUAACCUACCUAUAAGACUGGGAUAACUUCGGGAAACCGGAGCUAAUACCGGAUAAUAUUUUGAACCGCAUGGUUCAAAAGUGAAAGACGGUCUUGCUGUCACUUAUAGAUGGAUCCGCGCUGCAUUAGCUAGUUGGUAAGGUAACGGCUUACCAAGGCAACGAUGCAUAGCCGACCUGAGAGGGUGAUCGGCCACACUGGAACUGAGACACGGUCCAGACUCCUACGGGAGGCAGCAGUAGGGAAUCUUCCGCAAUGGGCGAAAGCCUGACGGAGCAACGCCGCGUGAGUGAUGAAGGUCUUCGGAUCGUAAAACUCUGUUAUUAGGGAAGAACAUAUGUGUAAGUAACUGUGCACAUCUUGACGAUACCUAAUCAGAAAGCCACGGCUAACUACGUG